UUGAACGCAUAUUGCGCUCGACCCUCCGGGCAAGAGCAUGUCUGCCUCAGCGUCGGUUUACACCCUCACCCCUCCCACUUUGUUGGGUUGCUUGGCAACUUUGCCAGCAUAGGUGGUGGAUCUGGCUUCCCCAAUCUGCCGUCUGGUAGAUUGGGUUGGCUGAAGAGUAGAGGUUUAAGCAAGGACCCGUUAUGGGCUUCAACUGGAUAGGUAGCACCGGCUUGUGCCGACUACACGAAGUUGAUGCUCGUGGAUCUUGCUAGAGGCCAAGCAGGAACGUGCCCAUGGCACGUCUAAACUUUCGACCUGAGCUCAGGCAAGGCUACCCGCUGAACUUAAGCAUAUCAAUAAGCGGAGGAA
Molecule: ribosomal RNA, 360 nt
Filed under: uncultured organism
Description: eukaryotic LSU rRNA
Rfam family: Eukaryotic large subunit ribosomal RNA (bases 303-360)
Source: RNAcentral